Molecule: ribosomal RNA, 469 nt
Filed under: uncultured bacterium
Lineage: Bacteria
Description: SSU rRNA
Rfam family: Bacterial small subunit ribosomal RNA
Source: RNAcentral
AGGACGAACGCUGGCGGCGUGCUUAACACAUGCAAGUCGAGCGGAAAGGCCCUUCGGGGUACUCGAGCGGCGAACGGGUGAGUAACACGUGAGUAACCUGCCCUUGGCUUUGGGAUAACCCUCGGAAACGGGGGCUAAUACCGGAUAUUCACUUCGGCCGGCAUCGGUUGUGGUGGAAAGUUUUUCGGCCAGGGAUGGGCUCGCGGCCUAUCAGCUUGUUGGUGGGGUAAUGGCCUACCAAGGCGACGACGGGUAGCCGGCCUGAGAGGGCGACCGGCCACACUGGGACUGAGACACGGCCCAGACUCCUACGGGAGGCAGCAGUGGGGAAUAUUGCACAAUGGGCGGAAGCCUGAUGCAGCGACGCCGCGUGAGGGAUGACGGCCUUCGGGUUGUAAACCGGCUUUCAGCAGGGACGAAUUGACGGUACCUGCAGAGAAGGCCCGGCCAACUACGUGCCAGCAGCCGC